Molecule: unclassified non-coding RNA, 226 nt
Filed under: Glomeraceae sp.
Lineage: Eukaryota; Fungi; Glomeromycota; Glomeromycetes; Glomerales; Glomeraceae
Description: partial contains 5.8S ribosomal RNA and internal transcribed spacer 2
Rfam family: 5.8S ribosomal RNA (bases 1-71)
Source: RNAcentral
GUGAAUCAUCAAAUCUUUGAACGCAAAUUGCACUCCCUUGUAUUCCUAGGAGUAUGCCUGUUUGAGGGUCGAUAAAAUUAAAAAUCGAUGCGUCGCUCUUUUUUUUAUGGUUGAUCGCGUCGGAAUUGAGCCGUCUUUCAAAUGUUAAUUCAUGUCAAAGUGGCUUGAAAUUCAUCCAUCCGGUACAAUUUAAGCGUAUUUAAGUCCAAGUUUUAUUUAGAACGCA